UCAUGUACUUAUGGGUCAAGUUUGAACGUUCUUGGUGUUCUUAAUUAUCUCAUAUACUGUUAAAGAAGAACAUUCAAAAAGUGAGUGUUUGAUCCAAAAAAAGGAGGUAAGAGAAGGUGAAUUUCUUUUUUGUCCAAAGAAUAUCCCAAGUCUUUCAAAGAAAUAAAGAAACAAAAGGCAUCAAACGGGGAAUAUUCUCAAAGAAGAGGACAAAAGAAAGUACAAAAGGG
Molecule: long non-coding RNA, 230 nt
Filed under: Capsicum annuum
Lineage: Eukaryota; Viridiplantae; Streptophyta; Magnoliopsida; Solanales; Solanaceae
Description: long non-coding RNA (CANN_LNC022152)
Source: RNAcentral